Molecule: ribosomal RNA, 305 nt
Filed under: uncultured bacterium
Lineage: Bacteria
Description: bacterial SSU rRNA
Rfam family: Bacterial small subunit ribosomal RNA
Source: RNAcentral
AUCACCUACGGGGGGCAGCAGUGAGGAAUAUUGGUCAAUGGCCGGGAGGCUGAACCAGCCAAGUCGCGUGAGGGAAGACGGCCCUACGGGUUGUAAACCUCUUUUGUCAGGGAGCAAGGUGCAGGUCGGGACCUGCUGUGAGAGUACCUGAAGAAAAAGCAUCGGCUAACUCCGUGCCAGCAGCCGCGGUAAUACGGAGGAUGCGAGCGUUAUCCGGAUUUAUUGGGUUUAAAGGGUGCGUAGGCGGGCCUUCAGGCCGGCGGUAAAAUUGCGGGGCUCCACCCCGCCGAGCCGUCCGCACCGGG